RNAcentral lists this ribosomal RNA (591 nucleotides) under uncultured bacterium. Its description in RNAcentral is "bacterial SSU rRNA". It matches the Rfam family "Bacterial small subunit ribosomal RNA", at positions 124 to 710 of the family's 1533-position model. The record is from RNAcentral.
AUCUGCCGAAUGGAGGGGGACAACAGUUGGAAACGACUGCUAAUACCGCAUAAUGUCGCGAGACCAAAGCAUGGGACCUUAGGGCCAUGCGCCAUUUGAUGAACCCAUAUGGGAUUAGCUAGUAGGUGAGGUAAUGGCUCACCUAGGCGACGAUCUCUAGCUGGUCUGAGAGGAUGACCAGCCACACUGGGACUGAGACACGGCCCAGACUCCUACGGGAGGCAGCAGUGGGGAAUAUUGCACAAUGGGGGAAACCCUGAUGCAGCCAUGCCGCGUGUAUGAAGAAGGCCUUCGGGUUGUAAAGUACUUUCGGUAGCGAGGAAGGGGUUAUAUCUAAUAGGUGUAACCAUUGACGUUAACUACAGAAGAAGCACCGGCUAACUCCGUGCCAGCAGCCGCGGUAAUACGGAGGGUGCGAGCGUUAAUCGGAAUGACUGGGCGUAAAGGGCAUGUAGGCGGAUAGUUAAGUUAGGUGUGAAAGCCCCGGGCUCAACCUGGGAAUUGCAUUUAAAACUGGUUAUCUGGAGUAUUGUAGANGAAGGUAGAAUUCCAUGUGUAGCGGUGAAAUGCGUANAGAUGUGGAGGAAUACC